Molecule: long non-coding RNA, 208 nt
Filed under: Mytilus galloprovincialis (Mediterranean mussel)
Lineage: Eukaryota; Metazoa; Mollusca; Bivalvia; Mytilida; Mytilidae
Source: RNAcentral
UCUUUCUACCUAAAUCUCCAUGAACUACUCGCCACUGGACAUGUAUCAUACACUAAUUAAUUAUCUCUUUACUUUUUGUGAUAAUAGUGGUGAAUGGGGAAACUUGUCCCGGAGGUCUUGUGACAGAAUGUGUUCACACGUUGUGUGAUGACGUGUCAGAACUACACUGUGUUGACAACAACUGUGUGUGUACUUUAACUGGAUCAAG